Molecule: ribosomal RNA, 153 nt
Filed under: Austrosynotis rectirama
Lineage: Eukaryota; Viridiplantae; Streptophyta; Magnoliopsida; Asterales; Asteraceae
Description: partial 5.8S ribosomal RNA
Rfam family: 5.8S ribosomal RNA
About the family: 5.8S ribosomal RNA (5.8S rRNA) is a component of the large subunit of the eukaryotic ribosome.
Source: RNAcentral
CGGCAACGGAUAUCUCGGCUCACGCAUCGAUGAAGAACGUAGCAAAAUGCGAUACUUGGUGUGAAUUGCAGAAUCCCGUGAACCAUCGAGUUUUUGAACGCAAGUUGCGCCCGAAGCCUUUCGGCCGAGGGCACGUCUGCCUGGGCGUCACAC